Molecule: ribosomal RNA, 492 nt
Filed under: uncultured bacterium
Lineage: Bacteria
Description: partial 16S ribosomal RNA
Rfam family: Bacterial small subunit ribosomal RNA
Source: RNAcentral
AGUGAACGCUGGCGGUAGGCCUAACACAUGCAAGUCGAACGGCAGCACAGUAAGAGCUUGCUCUUACGGGUGGCGAGUGGCGGACGGGUGGGGAAUACAUCGGAAUCUAUUUUUUCGUGGGGGAUAACGUAGGGAAACUUACGCUAAUACCGCAUACGACCUACGGGUGAAAGCAGGGGAUCUUCGGACCUUGCGCGAUUGAAUGAGCCGAUGUCGGAUUAGCUAGUUGGCGGGGUAAAGGCCCACCAAGGCGACGAUCCGUAGCUGGUCUGAGAGGAUGAUCAGCCACACUGGAACUGAGACACGGUCCAGACUCCUACGGGAGGCAGCAGUGGGGAAUAUUGGACAAUGGGCGCAAGCCUGAUCCAGCCAUACCGCGUGGGUGAAGAAGGCCUUCGGGUUGUAAAGCCCUUUUGUUGGGAAAGAAAAGCAGCAGGUUAAUACCCCGCUGUUCUGACGGUACCCAAAGAAUAAGCACCGGCUAACUUCGUG